This 496-nucleotide ribosomal RNA is filed under the name uncultured bacterium. RNAcentral's name for it is "partial 16S ribosomal RNA". It matches the Rfam family "Bacterial small subunit ribosomal RNA", at positions 29 to 507 of the family's 1533-position model. The record is from RNAcentral.
AUGAACGCUGGCGGCGUGCCUAAUACAUGCCAGUCGAGCGAACGGACGAGAAGCUUGCUUCUCUGAUGUUAGCGGCGGACGGGUGAGUAACACGUGGAUAACCUACCUAUAAGACUGGGAUAACUUCGGGAAACCGGAGCUAAUACCGGAUAAUAUUUUGAACCGCAUGGUUCAAAAGUGAAAGACGGUCUUGCUGUCACUUAUAGAUGGGUCCGCGCUGCAUUAGCUAGUUGGUAAGGUAACGGCUUACCAAGGCAACGAUGCAUAGCCGACCUGAGAGGGUGAUCGGCCACACUGGAACUGAGACACGGUCCAGACUCCUACGGGAGGCAGCAGUAGGGAAUCUUCCGCAAUGGGCGAAAGCCUGACGGAGCAACGCCGCGUGAGUGAUGAAGGUCUUCGGAUCGUAAAACUCUGUUAUUAGGGAAGAACAUAUGUGUAAGUAACUGUGCACAUCUUGACGGUACCUAAUCAGAAAGCCACGGCUAACUACGUG